Molecule: transfer RNA, 78 nt
Filed under: Vulcanisaeta sp.
Lineage: Archaea; Thermoproteati; Thermoproteota; Thermoprotei; Thermoproteales; Thermoproteaceae
Description: tRNA-Gln
Source: RNAcentral
CGCCUCGCAUAAGCAACAAGUAGACUAAAAUGGGCUUUGGACCCGUUGACCCCGGUUCGAAUCCGGGCCCGGCUACCA